This 618-nucleotide ribosomal RNA is filed under the name uncultured bacterium. RNAcentral's name for it is "bacterial SSU rRNA". The stretch from base 1 to 527 matches the Rfam family "Bacterial small subunit ribosomal RNA", at positions 338 to 873 of the family's 1533-position model. The record is from RNAcentral.
CCUACGGGAGGCAGCAGUGGGGAAUAUUGGACAAUGGGCGAAAGCCUGAUCCAGCAAUGCCGCGUGAGUGAUGAAGGCCUUAGGGUUGUAAAGCUCUUUUACCCGGGAUGAUAAUGACAGUACCGGGAGAAUAAGCUCCGGCUAACUCCGUGCCAGCAGCCGCGGUAAUACGGAGGGAGCUAGCGUUAUUCGGAAUUACUGGGCGUAAAGCGCACGUAGGCGGCUUUGUAAGUAAGAGGUGAAAGCCUGGUGCUCAACACCAGAACUGCCUUUUAGACUGCAUCGCUUGAAUCCAGGAGAGGUGAGUGGAAUUCCGAGUGUAGAGGUGAAAUUCGUAGAUAUUCGGAAGAACACCAGUGGCGAAGGCGGCUCACUGGACUGGUAUUGACGCUGAGGUGCGAAAGCGUGGGGAGCAAACGAGGUAUAGAUACCCGUGGUACGUCCACGCCGUAAACGAUGAUAACUAGCUGGUCGGGUCUCUUAGUAGUCGUCGGUGGUCGCGAGCUACGACAUUAAGUUAGUCCGUCCGUCGGGUAGGUACGGCCGCGAACGUUAAACGUUAAACGUUAGUAAGUUAGACGGCGUGAGACGUGCCGACGACGACGACGAGGGAGUAGG